AUUAGCCGGGCGCAUACAAAUGGGUUUCUGACAGACUCAAGCAGGUAAAACAGCACCGAGGCUCCGCAAAAGCGCGGUCACACCUGCCGGGAUGGCACCAUUUGAAAAUGCUCCAUGAAUUCAAGACAGUCCCCACCUCCUCUCCAGGUCAAAGACUGAUGAACAAUCACGAGGCAGCUUCACUGAGAAAACUUCGGUUAUUGUCACGAUGCAGUGUAAACUUGGUCUUCAGUUUCCUGCUGCUGCACCCUCAUGCCCAGAACAUUGCCUGGAACACCGUGGCCACUCACUCACUACUUGUUGAGUAAAUGAAUGAUCGGAUGAUAUCAAGAAACUGCACUCACCACAGUGAACGGUUCAUGAGCUGUCACUGUAUUCAUCAAGUCUCCUUGUCCUUCUGUGUGUCAUCAGUCAUAGCAGGCCAUAUCUCAGAGUGUGCUAUGCAUCCUUUUACUACUAGUUUGACUUUAACACCAUUUACUUCCUACU
Long non-coding RNA from Bos taurus (domestic cattle), 489 nucleotides. Lineage: Eukaryota; Metazoa; Chordata; Mammalia; Artiodactyla; Bovidae. The record is from Ensembl.